GAGAAUUCCUGUGGGAAUCUCCUCACAGAGGAGCCUCACAGCCAGCACCUGCACACAAACACCCAGUCCACGGCUUGGCUAAAACAUUUGACCCUUUAUUCCUAAACACGACAGAAAUUUAAGAGUGAGGGGAGAGCAAGAGAGCCGAGUACCGGCGGCUGCCAGGAGCAAGGCCCCACAGGCCCCCACCUCCCCAUCCUGUGCUGAAACUGUUCAGACACUGCAGAGGAAAGACAGAUAAAAGGACUUGUACAGAGGAGUAAAUGUAUAUGUCCCUGAAAUGAGCUGCAGUAUUGGGUGAUC
Molecule: long non-coding RNA, 303 nt
Filed under: Serinus canaria (Common canary)
Lineage: Eukaryota; Metazoa; Chordata; Aves; Passeriformes; Fringillidae
Description: lncRNA (ENSSCAG00000010776.1)
Source: RNAcentral